RNAcentral lists this microRNA precursor (166 nucleotides) under Cajanus cajan (pigeon pea). Its description in RNAcentral is "miRNA gene-KK1_042349". Lineage: Eukaryota; Viridiplantae; Streptophyta; Magnoliopsida; Fabales; Fabaceae. The record is from RNAcentral.
AUGAUCAAAUUUACAAAUUUUUAGAAAAUUUGAAAAUCAUUUGAUAUUUCGUUUCAUUAAUUCAAAUCAAUGUAUAAAAUAAUUUUAUGAUUAUCCAUCAAUUUAAAUUAAUGAAAUGAAGUAUCAAAUGAUUUCAAAUUUUUUAAAAAUUUGAAGAUUUGAUCUA